CAGUCGCCGCGGGAAUACGUAGGUGGCAAGCGUUGUCCGGAAUUAUUGGGCGUAAAGCGCGCGCAGGUGGUUUAAUAAGUCUGAUGUGAAAGCCCACGGCUCAACCGUGGAGGGUCAUUGGAAACUGUUAAACUUGAGUGCAGGAGAGAAAAGUGGAAUUCCUAGUGUAGCGGUGAAAUGCGUAGAGAUGUGGAGGAACACCAGUGGCGAAGGCGACUCUCUGGUCUGUAACUGACGCUGAGGAGCGAAAGCGUGGGGAGCGAACAGGAUUAGAUACCCCAGUAGUCCCUGUCUCUUAUAC
RNAcentral lists this ribosomal RNA (301 nucleotides) under uncultured bacterium. Its description in RNAcentral is "partial 16S ribosomal RNA". It matches the Rfam family "Bacterial small subunit ribosomal RNA", at positions 509 to 807 of the family's 1533-position model. The record is from RNAcentral.